Molecule: small RNA, 27 nt
Filed under: Bombyx mori (domestic silkworm)
Lineage: Eukaryota; Metazoa; Arthropoda; Insecta; Lepidoptera; Bombycidae
Description: ovarian small RNA-10112
Source: RNAcentral
AAAUACUAAAGUUGUUGGAAGAAGAUC